RNAcentral lists this non-coding RNA (597 nucleotides) under Pan troglodytes (chimpanzee). Lineage: Eukaryota; Metazoa; Chordata; Mammalia; Primates; Hominidae. The record is from RNAcentral.
CAGCAUAUACAAAAAUCAAGUGGAUUAAAGACUUGAAUGUAAAAUCUGAAACCGUAAAACUCCUAGGAGAAAAAAUAGGGGAAAAGCUCUUUGACAUUGGUCUGGGCAAUGAUUUCUUGGAUAUGACACCAAAAGCACAGGCAACAAAAGCAAAAAUUAAAAAGUGGGACUACAUCAAACUAAAAAUCUGCACAGCAAGGAAAACAAUCAACAAAGUGAGAAGCCAAUCUACUGAACGGGAGAAAAUAUUUUAAAACCACCUAGCCAAUAAAGGGAGUUACCUUUCAUGGAAGGGUAAGCAGGAAGCAACUACAAGAUCAUCAUUUCAAAACAAUAUGAAAGCAGAAUGGGAAAUGCCACGGCAUGCUCCCUCUUUUCAGGCAAUAUGGACACUUUGGGGAAGUUAUGAAGCGUCUCCCAUUCCCGCUUGAGGUACUCAAUAGAGCCCACAAACACAAUGUGCUUGAGCUCAUGGUAAUGAAAGUUGCUGGCACGGAGCGGCAUCACCAGGUUCCGGAGGCCGAUCAGGGCUGAGCUGACAUCGCCAAAGAUGCAGACCACGACAUGGCCACUCAGGACGGUCAUGGCAGCUUCACU